Molecule: ribosomal RNA, 253 nt
Filed under: uncultured bacterium
Lineage: Bacteria
Description: partial 16S ribosomal RNA
Rfam family: Bacterial small subunit ribosomal RNA
Source: RNAcentral
UACGUAGGGGUCGAGCGUUGUCCGGAGUUACUGGGCGUAAAGCGCAUGCAGGCGGCUCAUUACGCAUGGCGUGAAAGCCCCCGGCUUAACCGGGGAGGGUCGUCGUGAACGGGUGAGCUUGAGGGUAUCAGGGGCUGGUGGAAUUCCCGGUGUAGUGGUGAAAUGCGUAGAGAUCGGGAGGAACACCUGUGGCGAAGGCGGCCAGCUGGGAUACACCUGACGCUGAGAUGCGAAGGCGUGGGGAGCGAACGGG